Molecule: ribosomal RNA, 253 nt
Filed under: uncultured prokaryote
Description: partial 16S ribosomal RNA
Rfam family: Bacterial small subunit ribosomal RNA
Source: RNAcentral
ACGAGAGGCCCAAACGUUAUUCGGAAUUACUGGGCUUAAAGAGUUCGUAGGCGGCAUGAAAAGCAGGGUGUGAAAGCCCUCGGCUCAACCGAGGAAUUGCGCUCUGAACUGUCGUGCUUGAGGAACCUAGAGGUGAGCAGAACUGAUGGUGGAGCGGUGAAAUGCGUUGAUAUCAUCAGGAAUACCGGAGGCGAAGGCGGCUCACUGGGGGUUUUCUGACGCUGAGGAACGAAAGCCAGGGGAGCGAACGGGA